AACGUACCGCAGCCAGAGCUGGGCUUAUACACCCUGCACAAAGAGGAGGUAGAGGAGAAAGCCUGAAAAAACCACGGGAAUAGCUGAUUUCCUGCUACAAAAAUCCACAAAGGAGCAGAUCCACCACCCGCAGAUGGCAGGAGCUCCAUCUGCUCCUUCACAGGAGAUGUGCUGCAAGCGGUUGCGUGGUCUCAGCCGCUCCAGAUUGCUAACAGCCCUUGAAGAGUUUUUAGGCCGAUGCUUAAGGGAUUGAAAGCACACACACCAUUUUCUGGAACAGUACAGGCGAGUUUGCAGCUGCAGGAGGCUGGGCUGUUGCAGUAAGUUUCCAGGUCUGUCAAAGGUCUGUUGCAU
Long non-coding RNA from Egretta garzetta (little egret), 354 nucleotides. RefSeq lists it as uncharacterized. Lineage: Eukaryota; Metazoa; Chordata; Aves; Pelecaniformes; Ardeidae. The transcript has 3 exons. The record is from RefSeq and is a predicted model, not a curated record.